RNAcentral lists this unclassified non-coding RNA (411 nucleotides) under soil metagenome. RNAcentral describes it as "partial contains 5.8S ribosomal RNA, internal transcribed spacer 2, and large subunit ribosomal RNA". The stretch from base 4 to 118 matches the Rfam family "5.8S ribosomal RNA", at positions 40 to 154 of the family's 154-position model. The record is from RNAcentral.
GAUAGAACGCAGCGAAAUGCGAUAAGUAAUGUGAAUUGCAGAAUUCAGUGAAUCAUCGAAUCUUUGAACGCACCUUGCGCUCUUUGGUAUUCCGAAGAGCAUGCCUGUUUGAGUGUCAUGAAAAUAUCAACCUUGACUUGGGUUUUGUGCUCUAGUCUCGGCUUGGAAUUGGGUGCUUGCCGCUUUUACGAGCGGCUCACCUUAAAUGUAUUAGCUGGAUCUGUCUUUGAGACUUGGUUUGACUUGGCGUAAUAAGUAUUUCGCUAAGGACAUUCUUCGGAGUGGCCUCGUUUCUAGGACGCUUGUCCGCUUUCCAAUACAAGUUCCACCUCGUGGACAUGACUUUUUAUUAUCUGGCCUCAAAUCAGGUAGGACUACCCGCUGAACUUAAGCAUAUCAAUAAGCGGAGGA